RNAcentral lists this ribosomal RNA (919 nucleotides) under Cladosporium sp. HT-Z1-L. RNAcentral's name for it is "eukaryotic LSU rRNA". The stretch from base 664 to 919 matches the Rfam family "Eukaryotic large subunit ribosomal RNA", at positions 1 to 254 of the family's 3401-position model. The record is from RNAcentral. Lineage: Eukaryota; Fungi; Ascomycota; Dothideomycetes; Cladosporiales; Cladosporiaceae.
UUCUUUUUAUCCCGUCCCCUCCCUGUUGUACACACCGCCCGUCGCUACUACCGAUUGAAUGGCUCGGUGAGGCUUUCGGACUGGCCCAGGGAGGUCGGCAACGACCACCCAGGGCCGGAAAGUUGGUCAAACCCGGUCAUUUAGAGGAAGUAAAAGUCGUAACAAGGUCUCCGUAGGUGAACCUGCGGAGGGAUCAUUACAAGUGACCCCGGUCUAACCACCGGGAUGUUCAUAACCCUUUGUUGUCCGACUCUGUUGCCUCCGGGGCGACCCUGCCUUCGGGCGGGGGCUCCGGGUGGACACUUCAAACUCUUGCGUAACUUUGCAGUCUGAGUAAACUUAAUUAAUAAAUUAAAACUUUUAACAACGGAUCUCUUGGUUCUGGCAUCGAUGAAGAACGCAGCGAAAUGCGAUAAGUAAUGUGAAUUGCAGAAUUCAGUGAAUCAUCGAAUCUUUGAACGCACAUUGCGCCCCCUGGUAUUCCGGGGGGCAUGCCUGUUCGAGCGUCAUUUCACCACUCAAGCCUCGCUUGGUAUUGGGCAACGCGGUCCGCCGCGUGCCUCAAAUCGACCGGCUGGGUCUUCUGUCCCCUAAGCGUUGUGGAAACUAUUCGCUAAAGGGUGUUCGGGAGGCUACGCCGUAAAACAACCCCAUUUCUAAGGUUGACCUCGGAUCAGGUAGGGAUACCCGCUGAACUUAAGCAUAUCAAUAAGCGGAGGAAAAGAAACCAACAGGGAUUGCUCUAGUAACGGCGAGUGAAGCAGCAAUAGCUCAAAUUUGAAAUCUGGCGUCUUCGACGUCCGAGUUGUAAUUUGUAGAGGAUGCUUCUGAGUAACCACCGACCUAAGUUCCUUGGAACAGGACGUCAUAGAGGGUGAGAAUCCCGUAUGCGGUGGAAAGUCUCACGCAGAUGCCAGGC